Molecule: ribosomal RNA, 165 nt
Filed under: Fagus engleriana
Lineage: Eukaryota; Viridiplantae; Streptophyta; Magnoliopsida; Fagales; Fagaceae
Description: 5.8S ribosomal RNA
Rfam family: 5.8S ribosomal RNA
About the family: 5.8S ribosomal RNA (5.8S rRNA) is a component of the large subunit of the eukaryotic ribosome. It is transcribed by RNA polymerase I as part of the 45S precursor that also contains 18S and 28S rRNA.
Source: RNAcentral
CUCUCGGCAACGGAUAUCUCGGCUCUCGCAUCGAUGAAGAACGUAGCGAAAUGCGAUACUUGGUGUGAAUUGCAGAAUCCCGUGAAUCAUCGAGUCUUUGAACGCAAGUUGCGCCCGACGCCAUUCGGCCGAGGGCACGUCUGCCUGGGUGUCACGCAUUGUUGC